RNAcentral lists this ribosomal RNA (414 nucleotides) under Polymerus cognatus. Its description in RNAcentral is "partial large subunit ribosomal RNA". The stretch from base 288 to 414 matches the Rfam family "Bacterial large subunit ribosomal RNA", at positions 2473 to 2600 of the family's 2925-position model. Lineage: Eukaryota; Metazoa; Arthropoda; Insecta; Hemiptera; Miridae. The record is from RNAcentral.
GUCUUUUAAUUGAGGACUAGUAUGAAUGGUUGGAUGAAAAAUAUACUUUCUUUAUUUUAUAUAAAUAAUUUUAUUUUUUAGUUAAAAAGCUGAGAUGUUUUUAGAGGACGAGAAGACCCUAUAGAACUUUAUUAUAAUUUAUAUAAUAAUAAUAUAUUUUUAAUUUUUGUUAUAGGAGUUAUAAUUUCAUUGGGGUGAUGGAAAAAAUUUUAUAACUUUUUCUUUUAAAAUCAUAAUAAAUGUAUAUAUGAUCUUUUUUUAAAAAAAUAAGUCUAAGUUACCUUAGGGAUAACAGCGUUAUUUUCUUGGAGAGUUCUUAUCGAUAAGAAAGUUUGCGACCUCGAUGUUGGAUUAAAGAUAGUUUUAGGGGUAAAAAAUUAAAAUCUUGGUCUGUUCGACCAUUAAAUCUUUACA